Molecule: long non-coding RNA, 1124 nt
Organism: Neofelis nebulosa (Clouded leopard)
Lineage: Eukaryota; Metazoa; Chordata; Mammalia; Carnivora; Felidae
Exons: 3
Source: RefSeq, a predicted model, not a curated record
AAAAGCAGCUUCGCCUAGACUUCGCCUAGACUGCCGCCUUCCCUACAAACUUUCUCAAAGGCUCUUGGCAGUUCCUGGGAUGCUGCCACGCCCAGAUUUCCUACACGACAAGGCUGGUUACCUGCAACUCUUUGGGCACAAGUCAUUCUACUCAUUACUUAGAUUUCCACAAGGAACUUUUUCCUCUUUUUUUUUUUUUUUUGAAUUUUUUUAAAGUAAGCUCCACGCCCACCACAGAGCCCGACACGGGGCUCAAACUCACAACCAUGAGAUCAAGACCAGAGCUGAGAUCAAGAGUCAUACGCUUAACCGCUGAGCCACUGAGUCGCCCAGGUGCCCCUCCUCUUAAAAAUUUUUAUGUCUAUUGUUGUAUAUUUUGUUUCUUCUUAACAGAAACCAGCAAAGAGACGUGUUCCCAAGAGAACAGGUCACGCUGUCAGCUUUGACACAGAGCCGAAGCCAGAAUCAUGACAGUAAACAGUGAAUUCCACUGAGUGUCUGGACACUCAGAACGGAAGAAAAACUUGAGUGUGUCAGUAUGGCCCUAUUUCUCAAAACAAACCUUUCGUCAGAGGAUUUUGAGUUUGAAAGAAAACUAACCCACACAAGAUUCACUAAGAGCCGUUUGAUUUGGUGAAAGACAAACCUGCAGAAUGCUAGGGAAGUCCUUUUUUUUUCUUUUCACCCAAUUUUAAUUUACCACAUAAAAUAAGUAAUCCUAACAAUAUUAAAGAAAGAAAAAAAUCAUCCAUCACUUAACCCGCCUCAUCAAGUGUUGCAAUUUUCUUGUUACCUUCAAGAUCAGGUACAUACCUAGGAUCACAGUAUAGACACAAAUGGGUAUUCUAAUUUUUUCUCGCACUGAAUAUUAUCAUAACUAGUUCUUCUGUUGCCACAUAAUUUCCGUAAUUAAAAUUUUAGUGGCCACAUAAUAUUUCAUCAACUUGAGCUACCAUAAUGAGUUAAUUAUUGGGUGUUUAUGUUAUUUUAAUUCUAGUUCUUUAAUUUCACUUGUAGAUAUAAGUGAGAAGACGGAAAUUACUUUUAAAAAGCCAUGUCUACAAUCUCAUUUUUUCUUUUGGUGUGAAAUUAUCUACCUAUUCAAUGGGAACUGUUCAUUUACU